GGUGCAUGGCCGUUCUUAGUGGGUGGAACGAUUUGUCUGGUUAAUUCCGAUAAUGAAUGAGACUCUGGCAUGCUAACUAGUUACAAGAGCCCCUCGCGGUCGGCAUCCCCCAACUUCUUAGAGGGACAAGUGGCGUUCAGUCACCCAAGAUAGAGCAGUAACAGGUCUGAGAUGCU
This 176-nucleotide non-coding RNA is filed under the name Mus musculus (house mouse). Its description in RNAcentral is "Eukaryotic small subunit ribosomal RNA". It matches the Rfam family "Eukaryotic small subunit ribosomal RNA", at positions 1279 to 1471 of the family's 1831-position model. Lineage: Eukaryota; Metazoa; Chordata; Mammalia; Rodentia; Muridae. The record is from Rfam by way of RNAcentral.